CGACUGUUUACUUAAAACACAGGGCUGUGCGAAGCCGUAAGGCGACGUAUACAGUCUGACGCCUGCCCGGUGCUGGAAGGUUAAAAGGAGGGGUGCAAGCUCUGAAUUGAAGCCCCAGUAAACGGCGGCCGUAACAAUAACGGUCCUAAGGUAGCGAAAUUCCUUGUCGGGUAAGUUCCGACCUGCACGAAUGGCGUAACGAUCUCCCCGCUGUCUCUGAUGUGGACUCAGCGAAAUUGAACUGUGUGUCAAGAUGCACACUACCCGCGGUUAGACGGAAAGACCCCAUGCACCUUUACUCUAGCUUCGCACUGGCAUCAGGAUUGUGAUGUGCAGGAUAGGUGGUAGGCUUUGAAGCGGGGACGCAAGUCUUCGUGGAGCCACCCUUGAGAUACCACCCUUCGCACUCUUGAUGUCUAACCGCGGCCCGUU
Molecule: ribosomal RNA, 432 nt
Filed under: uncultured bacterium
Lineage: Bacteria
Description: bacterial LSU rRNA
Rfam family: Bacterial large subunit ribosomal RNA
Source: RNAcentral